This 371-nucleotide ribosomal RNA is filed under the name Dipsas temporalis (Variegated snail-eater). Its description in RNAcentral is "partial large subunit ribosomal RNA". It matches the Rfam family "Bacterial large subunit ribosomal RNA", at positions 2006 to 2594 of the family's 2925-position model. Lineage: Eukaryota; Metazoa; Chordata; Lepidosauria; Squamata; Dipsadidae. The record is from RNAcentral.
GAGGAUCUAUCUGUCUCUUACAAUAAAUCAAUUAAACUGAUCUCCUAGUAAAAAAGCUAGAAUCCACUCAUAAGACCAGAAGACCCUGUGAAGCUUAAACUAAACUAUUAAACCCUAUAAUACCUACUUUCGGUUGGGGCGACCUUGGAAAAAAAAAGAACUUCCAAACAUAUGACCACACUCAUACACAGGCCCACAAGCCUCAUAAUGACCCAGUACAACUGAUAAUUGAACCAAGUUACUCCAGGGAUAACAGCGCCAUCUUCUUCAAGAGUCCAUAUCAAAAAGAAGGUUUACGACCUCGAUGUUGGAUCAGGACAUCCUAAUGGUGCAGCCGCUAUUAAGGGUUCGUUUGUUCAACGAUUAAUAGU